ACACAGUAUCAAAAUAACAAUUAAGCACAAAGACAGAGUAGCAAAUGAAUUCAAACAAAUCCCAAGGCUUGCAUCAGAUGAAGGCUCAGUGUCAAAAUAUUGGCAUUGGCCAAGUCCUUUUGCAUAGGGAAUGUUGCAUAAUCCUAGGUCCAAAAGUUCAAAUCAAGUUCAACUGUCCAACAUAUGUUUUUUAGUGUUUUUGUUGUUAUUAAGUAUUUUAAGGUUCUAA
This 229-nucleotide long non-coding RNA is filed under the name Lathyrus oleraceus (garden pea). Its description in RNAcentral is "Pisum sativum (pea) long non-coding RNA (PSAT_LNC029636)". Lineage: Eukaryota; Viridiplantae; Streptophyta; Magnoliopsida; Fabales; Fabaceae. The record is from RNAcentral.